This is an RNA transcript of Carlito syrichta (Philippine tarsier), 1103 nucleotides long. It is a transcript of the gene named L-lactate dehydrogenase B chain pseudogene, with no coding region annotated. The record is from RefSeq and is a predicted model, not a curated record. The transcript has 2 exons. Lineage: Eukaryota; Metazoa; Chordata; Mammalia; Primates; Tarsiidae.
AUGAAGGUGAUAAGCUCUCUGGAGGAGAAAACCAAGCCAUUGUGUACAAAUAUGACUCCUGCUGCAGUCCCCAGAGCUUUCACCCUUCUGUGCACACUGGCAACUCUUGGGGAAAAACUCCUCACACCACUGGCUGAGGAAGACGCAACGGUCCCAAACAUUAAGUAAGAUCAUUGUAGUGGGUGUUGGGCAAAUUUGUAUGGCAUGUGCUAUAAGCAUUCUGGGAAAGUCUCUGACAGAUGAACUUGCUCUUGUGGAUGUUUUGGAAGAUAAGCUUGAAGGAGAAAUGUUGGAUCUGCAGCAUGGGCGCUUAUUUCUUCAGACACUUAAGAUUGUGACAGAUAAAGAUUACUCGGGACCGCCAGUUCUAAGAUUGUGGUGGUAACUGCAGGAGUCCGUCAGCAAGAGGGGGAGAGCCGUUUCAAUCUGGUACAGAGAAAUGUUAAUGUCUCCAAAUUCAUUAUUCCUCAGAUUGUCAAGUGCAGUCCUGAUGGCCUCAUAAUUGUGGUUUCCAACCCAGUGGACAUUCUUACAUAUGUUACCUGGAAACUAAGUGGAUUACCCAAGCAUCGUGUGAUUAGAAGUGGGGGUACUCUGGAUUCUGCUAGAUUUUGCUACCUUUUGGCUGAAAAACUUGGCAUUCAUUCCAGCUGCUGCCGUGGACGGACUUUGGGAGAACCUGGCGACUCAAGUGUGGCUGUGUGAAGUGGAGUGAAUGUAGCAGGUGUUUCUCUCCAGAAACUGAACCCAGAAAUGGGAACAGACAAUGACAGUGAAAAUUGGAAGGAAGUGCCUAAGAGGGUGGUUGAAAGUGCCUGUGCAGCCAUCAAACUAAAGGGACAGACCAACUGGGCUAUUGGAUUAAGUGUAGCCAUCUUAUUGAAUCUAUGUUGUGUAAUCUAUCCAGGAUUCAUCUAGUCUCAACAAUGAUGAAGGGUAUGUGUGGCAUCGAGAAUGAAGUCUUCCUGAGCCUCCCCGGUAUUCUCAAUGCUUGGGGAUUAACCAGUGUUAUUAACCAGAAGCUAAAGGACGAUGAGGUUGCUCAACUCAAAAAAAGUGCACACACCCUGUGGAACAUCCAGAAGGACCUAAAAGACCUGUGA